Molecule: transfer RNA, 64 nt
Filed under: Limois sp. WW-2021a
Lineage: Eukaryota; Metazoa; Arthropoda; Insecta; Hemiptera; Fulgoridae
Description: tRNA-Pro
Source: RNAcentral
CAGUAAGUAUUUUAAUAAAUAAAAUAUUAGUUUUGGAUACUAAAGAUGAUUUUUUCUUUACUGA